Molecule: long non-coding RNA, 1011 nt
Organism: Fukomys damarensis (Damara mole-rat)
Lineage: Eukaryota; Metazoa; Chordata; Mammalia; Rodentia; Bathyergidae
Exons: 3
Source: RefSeq, a predicted model, not a curated record
UCAAAGCCCUGUCAGACCCUGCAACAGCUCUGCUUUGUGUGAAUCCUGCUUGCUAUGUUCCCAGGGAAACGCCAAAGGAAUUAAGCCUCACAGAUGUAAAAAAGAGGUGUAGAAAGAAGAGGAAACUUCUAUUUGGGGCUCUUGAGAGGACUGAAGUCCCUUCUUGAGCCACUGGCUAGUAAAAGCCACUUUGUUCCUCUCUCUGUGUUUGAGUGGCCCUGAAAAUCCCCCGCAGUUUCCUGCUGCAACUGUAGAGAGAAAAGAAACCAGCCUGUUGCGAGCCUCUUGGUUCUUUUCAACCCCGGCCUUCCUUCCAGCCGUCAUACCUCAGUGAGAGGAGUCACCUGAGAGGAGGUAACACAGGAAUCAAACUCGGGACCUGUGCUUGCAAGGCAAGAGGUGGAACCAUUGAGCUGAAUCCCCGGCCCACGGACUUCUUUCUUCCAAAGGGAGUGUGGGGACAGCCUCGAUAUAUAUAGAAUAAUGUUCCUCAUUCUCCUACUUCAGUCUUACUGCAGUCGCUGAUCCAUGAAGAGUACACUGCCCCUCCCUCACGCUCCUCACUGGCUAAUAAAAGUGGGCCAAGCUGACAAGGUCUUGUGUUUUGCCCACUCUGCGGUACUGACUUCAAAUUUGUCUCUCUUUCGUUAUCUCUCACUGUACCCUCCACCCGCAAGUAGGCAGCUGAGGGUCUGAUGGGCGCUGGGCAGGAAGCCUAUGGUUGUCAGACAACUGACUCCUUAAAUACCAAGCUCUACUUCCAGAAGGACUAAACCGUGCAAGUAAAGACAUAUUGCUUGGGGCCAGGGAUUUAGCACAGUGGUUCUGCCACCUGCCUCACAAGCACAAGGUCCUGAGUUCAAUUCUCAGAUACCAAAAAAAAAAAAGAGGACAUAUUGUUCCUUAAUCCCUGCCACCUUUCUACCAGGAAAAAGGAGGAAACUGAGGCUGAAAGAUGUGACUGCAAGCAGGUAAUUCCCUAUACAUAAGCAGUCAGAGAAGACGUGUUAG